RNAcentral lists this ribosomal RNA (401 nucleotides) under uncultured bacterium. RNAcentral's name for it is "partial 16S ribosomal RNA". The record is from RNAcentral.
GUUUGAUCCUGGCUCAGACGCUCAAGUUUUUCACUCAUGAUGGUCAAUGCUCAGCGAUCAGCGCGCGAUGGUGCAUUCGCGCUUGAUCUUGUUCUGAAGUUGAACGAUGCCGUAAAGCAGCGCUUCUGCGGUCGGGGGACAACCAGGCACAUACACAUCCACCGGCACGAUCCGGUCACAACCACGAACCACCGAGUAGGAAUAGUGGUAAUAGCCCCCGCCGUUGGCGCAGGAACCCAUGGAAAUGACCCAGCGCGGCCCAGACAUCUGGUCAUAGACCCUUGCGCAGCGCUGGCGCCAUCUUGUUGCACAGCGUGCCGGCAACAAUCAUCAGGUCAGACUGACCGGGGACUGGGCCUGAACACCACGCCAAACCGGUCAAGGUCGUAACAAGGUAGCCG